This 19-nucleotide small nuclear RNA is filed under the name Arabidopsis thaliana (thale cress). RNAcentral's name for it is "snRNA_00251". Lineage: Eukaryota; Viridiplantae; Streptophyta; Magnoliopsida; Brassicales; Brassicaceae. The record is from RNAcentral.
UGAAAUACCACUACUUUUA